This 1251-nucleotide ribosomal RNA is filed under the name Rhizophagus sp. MUCL 43203. Its description in RNAcentral is "eukaryotic LSU rRNA". It matches the Rfam family "Eukaryotic large subunit ribosomal RNA", at positions 24 to 1126 of the family's 3401-position model. The record is from RNAcentral. Lineage: Eukaryota; Fungi; Glomeromycota; Glomeromycetes; Glomerales; Glomeraceae.
ACCCCGCUGAACUUAAGCAUAUCAAUAAGCGGAGGAAAAGAAAAUAACAAUGAUUCCCCUAGUAACUGCGAGUGAAGAGGGACAAGCUCAAAUUUUAAAUCUGUUAGGUUUUUACCUGACCGAGUUGUAAUUUGAAGAGGCGUUUUCCGCGUAUUUGGUCAACCCAAGUCCUAUUGAAUGAGGCAUCAUGGAGGGUGAUAAUCCCGUCCGGUUGAUCAUUGCGUUUUACGAUACGCUUUCUAAGAGUCAAGUUGUUUGGGAUUGCAGCUUAAAAUGGGAGGUAAAUUUCUCCUAAGGCUAAAUAACGGCGAGAGACCGAUAGCGAACAAGUACCGUGAGGGAAAGAUGAAAAGUACUUUGAAAAGAGAGUAAAACAGUACGUGAAAUUGUUGAAAGGGAAACGAUUGAAGCCAGUCGUACCAGCGGAUAAUCAACCUUUAGAUGCGAUUUUAUGGAGUGUGAGGAGCUAAUCGCCUUCAUGCCUGUAUAUUCGUAUACUUGGGGUGUACUUAUUCGUGUGGUAAGUUAACAUCAAUUUUGGUUGUCAUAAAAUGAUUGGAGGAAUGUAGCUUCGAUCUCGUAUUGAAGUGUUAUAGCCUUUGGUAGAUGUGAUGAUCGGGAUUGAGGAUUGCAACGGAUACCCUUCGGGGCUACCUGUCUGAUCUCUGAUUGUUGCUCUGGUGCUGAAAGCUUGCUUAUAGUUAUCAAAGUCGAUGGUCAAUAGGUUAGAAUGGGUUAAAUUCGUUAAGGAUGUUGACGUAAUGGCUUUAAACGACCCGUCUUGAAACACGGACCAAGGAGUCUAACAUAUAUGCGAGUGUUAGGGUUAAUUAAACCCUUACGCGUAAUAAAAGUAAUUUUGGUGGGAUCACUUUUGUGCACCAUCGACCGAUCAGGAUAUUUUUUGAUAGAUUUGAGUAAGAGCAUAUCUGCUAGGACCCGAAAGAUGGUGAACUAUGCCUGAAUAGGGUGAAGUCAGAGGAAACUCUGAUGGAGGCUCGUAGCGGUUCUGACGUGCAAAUCGAUCGUCAAAUUUGGGUAUAGGGGCGAAAGACUAAUCGAACCAUCUAGUAGCUGGUUCCUGCCGAAGUUUCCCUCAGGAUAGCAGAAACUCGAUAAUAGUUUUAUGAGGUAAAGCGAAUGAUUAGAGGCCUUAGGGUUGAAACAGCCUUAACCUAUUCUCAAACUUUAAAUAUGUAAGAAGUUUAUCGUUACUUAAUUGAACGUGAACAUUCGAAUAAGAGUUUCUAG